Molecule: ribosomal RNA, 497 nt
Filed under: uncultured bacterium
Lineage: Bacteria
Description: partial 16S ribosomal RNA
Rfam family: Bacterial small subunit ribosomal RNA
Source: RNAcentral
GAUGAACGCUGGCGGCGUGCCUAAUACAUGCCAGUCGAGCGAACAGAUAAGGAGCUUGCUCCUUUGACGUUAGCGGCGGACGGGUGAGUAACACGUGGGUAACUUACCUAUAAGACUGGAAUAACUCCGGGAAACCGGGGCUAAUGCCGGAUAACAUGUUGAACCGCAUGGUUCUACAGUGAAAGGCGGCUUUGCUGUCACUUAUAGAUGGACCCGCGCCGUAUUAGCUAGUUGGUGAGGUGACGGCUCACCAAGGCAACGAUACGUAGCCGACCUGAGAGGGUGAUCGGCCACACUGGAACUGAGACACGGUCCAGACUCCUACGGGAGGCAGCAGUAGGGAAUCUUCCGCAAUGGGCGAAAGCCUGACGGAGCAACGCCGCGUGAGUGAUGAAGGUCUUCGGAUCGUAAAACUCUGUUAUUAGGGAAGAACAAAUGCGUAAGUAACUGUGCGCGUCUUGACGGUACCUAAUCAGAAAGCCACGGCUAACUACGUG